GAUGAACGCUGGCGGCGUGCUUAAUACAUGCAAGUCGAGCGAACAGACGAGGAGCUUGUUCCUCUGACGUUUGCGGCGGACGGGAGAGUAACACGUGUAUAACCUACCUAUAUUACUGGGAACACUUCGGGAAUCCGGAUCUAAUCCCGGAUAAUCUCUUGAACCGCAUGGUUCAAUGGUGAAAGACGGCUUUUCUGUCACUACUAGAUGGAUCCGCGCCGCGUGAGCUAGUUGGUAAGUUAACGGCUUACCAAGGCGACGAUGCGUAGCCGACCUGAGAGGGUGAUCGGCCACACUGGAACUGAGACACGGUCCAGACUCCUACGGGAGGCAGCAGUAGGGAAUCUUCCGCAAUGGGCGAAAGCCUGACGGAGCAACGCCGCGUGAGUGAUGAAGGUCUUCGGAUCGUAAAACUCUGUUAUUAGGGAAGAACAAAUGUGUAAGUAACUAUGCACGUCUUGACGGUACCUAAUCAGAAAGCCACGGCUAACUACGUG
Molecule: ribosomal RNA, 497 nt
Filed under: uncultured bacterium
Lineage: Bacteria
Description: partial 16S ribosomal RNA
Rfam family: Bacterial small subunit ribosomal RNA
Source: RNAcentral